This 406-nucleotide ribosomal RNA is filed under the name uncultured bacterium. RNAcentral's name for it is "partial 16S ribosomal RNA". It matches the Rfam family "Bacterial small subunit ribosomal RNA", at positions 30 to 526 of the family's 1533-position model. The record is from RNAcentral.
AUUGAACGCUGGCGGCAGGCCUAACACAUGCAAGUCGAACGAGUCGCGGACGGGUGAGUAAUGUCUGGGAAACUGCCCGAUGGAGGGGGAUCACUACCGGAAACGGUAGCUAAUACCGCAUACCAUCGGAUGUGCCCAGAUGGGAUUAGCUAGUAGUUGGGGGAACGGAUCACCUAGGCGACGAUCCCUAGCUGGUCUGAUAGGAUGACCAGCCACACUGGAACUGUGAUACGGUCCAGAGUCCUACGGUAGGCAGCAGUUGGGAUUAUGGCACAAUGGGCGGGAGCCUGAUGCAGCCAGGCCGCGUGUAUGAAGAAGGCCUUCGGUUUGUAAAGUACUUUCAGCGAGGAGGCGUUACUCGCAGAAGAAGCACCGGCUAACUCCGUGCCAGCAGCCGCGGUAAUAC